This 846-nucleotide ribosomal RNA is filed under the name uncultured Bacteroides sp. Its description in RNAcentral is "bacterial SSU rRNA". It matches the Rfam family "Bacterial small subunit ribosomal RNA", at positions 642 to 1501 of the family's 1533-position model. Lineage: Bacteria; Pseudomonadati; Bacteroidota; Bacteroidia; Bacteroidales; Bacteroidaceae. The record is from RNAcentral.
UGAGKGUAAAUGARGGUAGGCGGAUGCGKGGGKUAGCGGUGAAUGCAUAAGAAUAUCACGCAGAACUCCCGAUUGCGAAGGCAGCUUACUAAGCUACAACUKACAYGAAGCACGAAAGCGKGGGGAUCAAACAGGAUUAGAWACCCUGGUAGUCCACSCAGUAAACGAUGAUACUAGCUGUUUGCGAUACACAGUAAGCGGCACAGCGAAAGCGUUAAGUAAUUCCACUGGGGAGUACGCCGGCAACGGKGAAACUCAAAGGAAUUGACGGGGGCCCGCACAAGCGGAGGAACAUGUGGUUUAAUUCGAUGAUACGCGAGGAACCUUACCCGGGUUUGAACGUAGGGAGACAGGGGUGGAAACAUCCUUUUCAGCAAUGACUGCCUACGAGGUGCUGCAUGGUUGUCGUCAGCUCGUGCCGUGAGGUGUCGGCUUAAGUGCCAUAACGAGCGCAACCCUUAUUUCCAGUUACUAACAGGUGAUGCUGAGGACUCUGGAGAGACUGCCAGCGUAAGCUGUGAGGAAGGUGGGGAUGACGUCAAAUCAGCACGGCCCUUACAUCCGGGGCGACACACGUGUUACAAUGGUAAGGACAAAGGGCAGCUACCGGGCGACCGGAUGCGAAUCUCUAAACCUUAUCUCAGUUCGGAUCGGAGUCUGCAACUCGACUCCGUGAAGCUGGAUUCGCUAGUAAUCGCGCAUCAGCCAUGGCGCGGCGAAUACGUUCCCGGGCCUUGUACACACCGCCCGUCAAGCCAUGGGAGCCGGGGGUACCUGAAGUUCGUAACCGCAAGGAUCGACCUAGGGUAAAACUGGUGACUGGGGCUAAGUCGUAACAAGGUAACC